GCCCGAGUGGCGGAAUGGUAGACGCAGGGGACUCAAAAUCCCCCGCCUUCGCAGGCGUGAGAGUUCGAGUCUCUCCUCGGGCACCA
This 86-nucleotide transfer RNA is filed under the name Rhodobacter sp. RNAcentral describes it as "tRNA-Leu". It matches the Rfam family "tRNA". Rfam says of the family: Transfer RNA (tRNA) molecules are approximately 80 nucleotides in length. Their secondary structure includes four short double-helical elements and three loops (D, anti-codon, and T loops). The record is from RNAcentral. Lineage: Bacteria; Pseudomonadati; Pseudomonadota; Alphaproteobacteria; Rhodobacterales.